This is a long non-coding RNA of Pocillopora damicornis (cauliflower coral), 374 nucleotides long. The record is from RefSeq and is a predicted model, not a curated record. Lineage: Eukaryota; Metazoa; Cnidaria; Anthozoa; Scleractinia; Pocilloporidae.
ACUGGUUGCAUCCAGGUUAAGUAAUUCUCCUAGAUUCACAUCUUGCUUAUUGGUCACUUAGCUUAAAAUAUUCAGCCCGUAUCGUGUACACUUUGUUUUUGGUCUCUUUCUCUCUCUUUCAGGCGGCUAUUCUCCAUCAUGUCGUACUUUUCUUCUUCUACAACAUAAUUCCUGGACUUCUCUCUGCUUCUAUGCGAAUUGUAAAGGGCAUGAUUUUAAGAGUGAUUUUCUUCUCUCGUAUCGAUCGAACAUCACUGGUGCAGGGUUUCCAGGCUUGGGACAAAGCUUUUGUCGCAUACCUUGGUUUUGUGACUGUGCUAGUUGCCCACAGACAACCCGUGAUGCUGGUGUUCUGUCAGUUGCUUAUUGACAGA